Molecule: transfer RNA, 82 nt
Filed under: Anneissia japonica
Lineage: Eukaryota; Metazoa; Echinodermata; Crinoidea; Comatulida; Comatulidae
Description: tRNA-Ser
Rfam family: tRNA
About the family: Transfer RNA (tRNA) molecules are approximately 80 nucleotides in length.
Source: RNAcentral
GUAGUCGUGGCCGAGCGGUUAAGGCGAUAGACUUGAAAUCUAUUGGGGUGUCCCCGCGCAGGUUCGAAUCCUGCCGACUACG